UGGGGAAUAUUGGACAAUGGACCAAGAGUCUGAUCCAGCAAUUCUGUGUGCACGAUGAAGUUUUUCGGAAUGUAAAGUGCUUUCAGUUGGGAAGAAAAAAUGACGGUACCAACAGAAGAAGUGACGGCUAAAUACGUGCCAGCAGCCGCGGUAAUACGUAUGUCACGAGCGUUAUCCGGAUUUAUUGGGCGUAAAGCGCGUCUAGGUGGUUAUGUAAGUCUGAUGUGAAAAUGCAGGGCUCAACUCUGUAUUGCGUUGGAAACUGUAUAACUAGAGUACUGGAGAGGUAAGCGGAACUACAAGUGUAGAGGUGAAAUUCGUAGAUAUUUGUAGGAAUGCCGAUGGGGAAGCCAGCUUACUGGACAGAUACUGACGCUGAAGCGCGAAAGCGUGGGUAGCAAACAGGAUUAGAUACCCUGGUAGUCCACGCCGUAAACGAUGAUUACUAGGUGUUGGGGGUCGAACCUCAGCGCCCAAGCAAACGCGAUAAGUAAUCCGCCUGGGGAGUACGUACGCAAGUAU
RNAcentral lists this ribosomal RNA (522 nucleotides) under uncultured bacterium. RNAcentral's name for it is "bacterial SSU rRNA". It matches the Rfam family "Bacterial small subunit ribosomal RNA", at positions 355 to 895 of the family's 1533-position model. The record is from RNAcentral.